Molecule: ribosomal RNA, 484 nt
Filed under: uncultured bacterium
Lineage: Bacteria
Description: partial 16S ribosomal RNA
Rfam family: Bacterial small subunit ribosomal RNA
Source: RNAcentral
AUUGAACGCUGGCGGCAUGCUUUACACAUGCAAGUCGAACGGCAGCGCGGGCUUCGGCCUGGCGGCGAGUGGCGAACGGGUGAGUAAUACAUCGGAACGUGCCCAGUAGUGGGGGAUAGCUCGGCGAAAGCCGGAUUAAUACCGCAUACGACCUGAGGGUGAAAGCGGGGGAUCUUCGGACCUCGCGCUAUUGGAGCGGCUGAUGGCAGAUUAGCUAGUUGGUGGGGUAAAGGCCUACCAAGGCGACGAUCUGUAGCUGGUCUGAGAGGACGGCCAGCCACACUGGGACUGAGACACGGCCCAGACUCCUACGGGAGGCAGCAGUGGGGAAUUUUGGACAAUGGGCGAAAGCCUGAUCCAGCAAUGCCGCGUGUGUGAUGAAGGCCUUCGGGUUGUAAAGCACUUUUGGCGGGAACGAAAAGGACUGUGCCAAUACCACGGUUCGAUGACGGUACCCGCAGAAUAAGCACCGGCUAACUACGUG